UUUCUGGACUCAAGUCUUUUUAGACCAGUUUUGGUUGUGUUCCCAAACCUGAACCAUUCACUGUGAGAGGGAGCCGUAAUGGCGAGAUUGAUAGGACUGUUACAUGCUGCCCAUUCACAGGCCCCAGUGAAGCCACAGGAACUUGUACUCCUCAAACCUAGGCUCAGUGGGGAGGAAGUGCCCGAGACACCUCAAGUGCCUGAUAGGCAAUGAAUUUACAUUCCUCUUAUCCAGAAUGAUGUCUAGUGCUGCAGGAAUGGUGGCUGAUUUAUUAGCAUGUCUAACAACAUGAUCCAACAUGGUUUAGAGGCGCAGUAGGCUGAGAUCUUAUGUCUGAUGCUACUAACUGGAGCCUUAGUCAGAGCUGCUUAGAUUACCUGCAAGUUAGGGGACAAUAUCAUUUGAGUAGUUACCUAAGUAUGUUUUAGAAAAAGUCCAGUGGUAGCAAUAACGGUUUGUGUAUAAUAAAAGCAGAAAAAUACAUAAGGCGCCUUUGGUCAGAUAAGCUUGGUCAAUUCCAUGUUGAAGGCAGUAAGUAUCAGGGUUUCUCUGAACCAGUAUGACUCUAAAUCUCCAAGAGUGGAUGCUGGGGUCCACAUUUCCUAUAUUGGUGUGUUUGGUCAUGAGUAGGGCUCAAAUUACAUUCCCUGGAGCACUCUGGGACUUAGCAAGUUAGACCAGUAGUAGCAACUAAGUUACCAGGACCCUAGAAGUCUGAGAAAAUUGUAAAGUGGGAGGAGUCUCUAAGCUUUUUUCACUAUUUCAGAAAACCUAAAGAAAAAAAAAAAAAAUCACAGGAUCAAAUCAAAUGAUAUAAAAAAUUUUAAUAAAAUUCCUUAUUUAUCCAUGAUAAAAACUCAGCUGACCAGAAGAGUGUAACGUCCUCAUCAUCCUAAAGGACAUCAACAAAAGUCUCUGCAACUUCAUGCUUAAUAGUAAAACACUAGAUGCUCUGCUCUGAUUAGGACAAGGCAAGGAAGCCCAUCUCACUCGUCCUAUUCGACACCAUACUGAAAGUCCCAGCCAGUGUAAUUCAGCAAGAAAAAGGAAAUAAAG
Molecule: long non-coding RNA, 1056 nt
Filed under: Marmota monax (woodchuck)
Lineage: Eukaryota; Metazoa; Chordata; Mammalia; Rodentia; Sciuridae
Source: RNAcentral